Molecule: ribosomal RNA, 119 nt
Organism: Betta splendens (Siamese fighting fish)
Lineage: Eukaryota; Metazoa; Chordata; Actinopteri; Anabantiformes; Osphronemidae
Source: Ensembl
GCUUACGGCCAUACCACCCUGAGCACGCCUGAUCUCGUCUGAUCUCGGAAGCUAAGCAGUGUCGGGCCUAGUUAGUACUUGGAUGGGAGACCGCCUGGGAAUACCAGGUGCCGUAAGCU